GUCGUCGCUUCGACAUUUCUUUUAAAAUUGUAUUUAAACCUGUGCUUUGCCUUUGAACUCGUGAUCGGCAUACAUCACUAUUUUUUAGACACUAUCCAAUUUCCGUCCAAAAUUUAUCGCAGUGGAUUAUGAUAUCGCCAUAUCACCUGAUCAAUUUUUUAUAAUAUAUCGCAGUAAUUGUAACGACACCAUAAACAACAUCUUAUUAUUAAACGCCGAGAUUGCGCGCUUGGUCGAUUCACAAUCAAGACAGGCAAAAUUUCACGUCUAUCUGAAACUAGUUGGCCGUGAAGGAUACAAUGUGCGGCAGUGCGGGCUUGGGCGCAUAAAUACAUACAUACUGAUACUCAACAUUAAGGAAAUUUUAUAGCAGGUGUAGAAUAUGUUUUCAGAUUUUGUUUUGUAUGCUUAUUCCCUUGCAUGCUUAUUACCUUAUUACCUUAUUGCUUGCUUAUGUGUGCUUAUUCCCUUGCAUGCUUAUUACCUUAUUACCUUGUUACC
Paramuricea clavata is the source of this 501-nucleotide non-coding RNA. Lineage: Eukaryota; Metazoa; Cnidaria; Anthozoa; Malacalcyonacea; Plexauridae. The record is from the annotation of a GenBank genome assembly.